GGAUGAGCCCGCGGCCUAUCAGCUUGUUGGUGAGGUAAUGGCUCACCAAGGCGACGACGGGUAGCCGGCCUGAGAGGGUGACCGGCCACACUGGGACUGAGACACGGCCCAGACUCCUACGGGAGGCAGCAGUGGGGAAUAUUGCACAAUGGGCGAAAGCCUGAUGCAGCAACGCCGCGUGAGGGAUGACGGCCUUCGGGUUGUAAACCUCUUUUAGUAGGGAAGAAGCGAAAGUGACGGUACCUGCAGAAAAAGCACCGGCUAACUACGUGCCAGCAGCCGCGGUAAUACGUAGGGUGCAAGCGUUGUCCGGAAUUAUUGGGCGUAAAGAGCUCGUAGGCGGUUUGUCGCGUCUGCUGUGAAAUCCCGAGGCUCAACCUCGGGCUUGCAGUGGGUACGGGCAGACUAGAGUGCGGUAGGGGAGAUUGGAAUUCCUGGUGUAGCGGUGGAAUGCGCAGAUAUCAGGAGGAACACCGAUGGCGAAGGCAGAUCUCUGGGCCGUAACUGACGCUGAGGAGCGAAAGCGUGGGGAGCGAACAGGAUUAGAUACCCUGGUAGUCCACGCCGUAAACGUUGGGCGCUAGAUGUAGGGACCUUUCCACGGUUCCUGUGUCGUAGCUAACGCAUUAAGCGCCCCCGCCUGGGGAAGUACGGGCGCAAACUAAAACU
RNAcentral lists this ribosomal RNA (669 nucleotides) under uncultured bacterium. Its description in RNAcentral is "bacterial SSU rRNA". It matches the Rfam family "Bacterial small subunit ribosomal RNA", at positions 223 to 901 of the family's 1533-position model. The record is from RNAcentral.